AGGCAGCAGUGCAGCAUAGUGGACUAUGGGACAAAGCGUGCAACAGUAAUCCAGCCAGAGGGAGGAAGUCAUGAAGGCCUUAAACUUGUAAUGGUAGUUAAGAAGUGAAAAUAACGGUACUAGCAGAAGAAGAACCGCCGAAUUACUUGCCAGCAGCAGCGGUAAUAAUUAGAAGGCGAGCAUUGUCGGUAAUAAUCAGGGGUAAAAAAGUGCUAGUAGGUGGAUCGUUUAGUCAGUGAAAAAAUCAGGGUGAUCAUCUCCCGAACAGUCGGUAAUAGCAGAGAUGAGUACUUUAGGAGAGAUUGGAAUACCUGGUAUAGUAGAGGAAAAAUUAGAAAUUAUUAGGAACAACGACGGUGAAGAAGGAUGUCAGGUCGGUAAAUAACGAUGAGGAGGGAAAACAUGGGGAGGAACCAACAUGAUAUGACAUCGUAGUACUUCCCGCAAGUAAAUGAGAAGAUAGAAGUGGGGGGCAGUUCUCCGUCUCAGUGUCGCAGCUAACGCAUUAAGCUUCCCGCCUGGGGAGUACGGUCGCAAGAUUAAAACUCAAAUGAAUUGACGG
RNAcentral lists this ribosomal RNA (562 nucleotides) under uncultured bacterium. RNAcentral describes it as "partial 16S ribosomal RNA". It matches the Rfam family "Bacterial small subunit ribosomal RNA", at positions 346 to 916 of the family's 1533-position model. The record is from RNAcentral.